ACGUAUCCAACCUGCCGAUGACUCGGGGAUAGCCUUUCGAAAGAAAGAUUAAUACCCGAUGGCAUAGUUCUUCCGCAUGGUAGAACUAUUAAAGGAUUUCGGUCAUCGAUGGGGAUGCGUUCCAUUAGGUUGUUGGCGGGGUAACGGCCCACCAAGCCUUCGAUGGAUAGGGGUUCUGAGAGGAAGGUCCCCCACAUUGGAACUGAGACACGGUCCAAACUCCUACGGGAGGCAGCAUG
RNAcentral lists this ribosomal RNA (239 nucleotides) under uncultured bacterium. RNAcentral describes it as "partial 16S ribosomal RNA". It matches the Rfam family "Bacterial small subunit ribosomal RNA", at positions 115 to 353 of the family's 1533-position model. The record is from RNAcentral.